AACUGUGAGACAGGUGCUGCAUGGCUGUCGUCAGCUCGUGUUGUGAAAUGUUGGGUUAAGUCCCGCAACGAGCGCAACCCUUAUCCUUUGUUGCCAGCGGUCCGGCCGGGAACUCAAAGGAGACUGCCAGUGAUAAACUGGAGGAAGGUGGGGAUGACGUCAAGUCAUCAUGGCCCUUACGACCAGGGCUACACACGUGCUACAAUGGCGCAUACAAAGAGAAGCGACCUCGCGAGAGCAAGCGGACCUCAUAAAGUGCGUCGUAGUCCGGAUUGGAGUCUGCAACUCGACUCCAUGAAGUCGGAAUCGCUAGUAAUCGUGGAUCAGAAUGCCACGGUGAAUACGUUCCCGGGCCUUGUACACACCGCCCGUCACACCAUGGGAGUGGGUUGCAAAAGAAGUAGGUAGCUUAACCUUCGGGAGGGCGCUUACCACUUUGUGAUUCAUGACUGGGGUGAAGUCGUAACAAGGUAACCGUAGGGGAACCUGC
Molecule: ribosomal RNA, 490 nt
Filed under: Salmonella enterica
Lineage: Bacteria; Pseudomonadati; Pseudomonadota; Gammaproteobacteria; Enterobacterales; Enterobacteriaceae
Description: bacterial SSU rRNA
Rfam family: Bacterial small subunit ribosomal RNA
Source: RNAcentral